This 403-nucleotide ribosomal RNA is filed under the name Fusobacteriota bacterium. RNAcentral describes it as "Fusobacteria bacterium partial 16S ribosomal RNA". It matches the Rfam family "Bacterial small subunit ribosomal RNA", at positions 355 to 776 of the family's 1533-position model. The record is from RNAcentral. Lineage: Bacteria; Fusobacteriati; Fusobacteriota.
UGGGGAAUAUUGCACAAUGGAGGGAACCCUGAUGCAGCGACGCCGCGUGAACGAAGAAGGCUUUCGAGUCGUAAAGUUCUUUUAUAUGGGAAGAUAAUGACGGUACCAUAAGAAAAAGCGCCGGCUAACUACGUGCCAGCAGCCGCGGUAAUACGUAGGGGGCUAGCGCUGUCCGGAAUCACUGGGCGUAAAGGGUUCGCAGGCGGAAAUGCAAGUCAGGUGUAAAAGGCAGUAGCUUAACUACUGUAAGCAUUUGAAACUGGAUAUCUUGAGAAGAGUAGAGGUAAGUGGAAUUUUUAGUGUAGCGGUGAAAUGCGUAGAUAUUAAAAAGAAUACCGGUGGCGAAGGCGACUUACUGGGCUCAUUCUGACGCUGAGGAACGAAAGCGUGGGUAGCAAACAGG